UACGUAGGGUGCGAGCGUUGUCCGGAAUUAUUGGGCGUAAAGGGCUCGUAGGCGGUUUGUCGCGUCGGGAGUGAAAUCCACUGGCUUAACUGGUGGCUUGCUUUCGAUACGGGCAGACUGGAGGUAUGCAGGGGAGAACGGAAUUCCUGGUGUAGCGGUGAAAUGCGCAGAUAUCAGGAGGAACACCGGUGGCGAAGGCGGUUCUCUGGGCCAAAACUGACGCUGAGGAGCGAAAGCGUGGGGAGCGAACAGG
This 253-nucleotide ribosomal RNA is filed under the name uncultured bacterium. Its description in RNAcentral is "partial 16S ribosomal RNA". It matches the Rfam family "Bacterial small subunit ribosomal RNA", at positions 524 to 776 of the family's 1533-position model. The record is from RNAcentral.